RNAcentral lists this ribosomal RNA (253 nucleotides) under uncultured bacterium. RNAcentral describes it as "partial 16S ribosomal RNA". It matches the Rfam family "Bacterial small subunit ribosomal RNA", at positions 524 to 776 of the family's 1533-position model. The record is from RNAcentral.
UACGAAGGGGGCUAGCGUUGCUCGGAAUCACUGGGCGUAAAGGGUGCGUAGGCGGGUUUUUAAGUCGGGGGUGAAAUCCUGGAGCUCAACUCCAGAACUGCCUUUGAUACUGAAGAUCUUGAGUCCGGGAGAGGUGAGUGGAACUGCGAGUGUAGAGGUGAAAUUCGUAGAUAUUCGCAAGAACACCAGUGGCGAAGGCGGCUCACUGGCCCGGUACUGACGCUGAGGUGCGAAAGCGUGGGGAGCAAACAGG